Curtobacterium luteum is the source of this 99-nucleotide non-coding RNA. The record is from Rfam. Lineage: Bacteria; Bacillati; Actinomycetota; Actinomycetes; Micrococcales; Microbacteriaceae.
UCUGAUCCGCGGAUCGGGACUCCCAGCCGUGGUGCCCUGACGUCACUUCCCCGACGUCAGGUCGCAUGGAUGGGGAUCCGGACCCGCGGCCCGGAAGGC